UGGCAGGCUAGGCUGGGAGGUUAGCCCUCUCCUGUCACCGUGAAUGGGCUAUACGCGGAGCUGAAGCUUGCAGAGCGGUUGUUUUGCCUGAACAAAGGUCUUGGGGUGGACGUUGACGUUCUGUCCUGCAGGAUUGAUGCAUCAGGAAACUGGUCAGGUCCGGAAGGAAGCAGCCAUAACUGGUGUUCUCAAUGCUUGCGGGGUAGCGGAACUGAGGAAGCUUCAAGGUCAGCCUUUGUCAGGCUUGCAGCUCAUCUGCAGGCGUGCCUGCCA
This 273-nucleotide signal recognition particle RNA is filed under the name Candidatus Woesearchaeota archaeon. RNAcentral describes it as "signal recognition particle sRNA". It matches the Rfam family "Archaeal signal recognition particle RNA". The record is from RNAcentral. Lineage: Archaea; Nanobdellati; Candidatus Woesearchaeota.